AUUGAACGCUGGCGGCAUGCCUAACACAUGCAAGUCGAGCGGACAAACGGGGCUCUUUCCUGUCUUCAGCGGCCGACGGGCGAGUGAUUACUACGAGGCUGCCCUGUAUUUAAGGAUAAGGUCCCUAAAGGGACGCUAAUACCGCAUACGUCCAGAUGUUGAAGCGGGUGGAUCUACGGUGCUAGCGCUAUUUGAUGAGCCUAGGUCGCAUUAGCUAGUUGGUUUGGUAAAGGCCUACCAAGGCGACGAUCCGUAACUGAUCUGAGAGGAUGAUCAGUCACACUGGAACUGAGACACGGUCCAGACUCCUACGGGAGGCAGCAGUAGGGAAUAUUCCGCAAUGGGCGAAAGCCUGAUGGAGCAAUGCCGCGUGAGUGAUGAAGGUCUUCGGAUUGUAAAGCUCUUUUAGUUGGGAAGAACGAAAGUGUGAUAAUCCCUUGCUGUUUUGACGUUACCAAAACAGAAAGCCACGGCUAACUUCGUG
RNAcentral lists this ribosomal RNA (484 nucleotides) under uncultured bacterium. RNAcentral describes it as "partial 16S ribosomal RNA". It matches the Rfam family "Bacterial small subunit ribosomal RNA", at positions 30 to 507 of the family's 1533-position model. The record is from RNAcentral.